This 2307-nucleotide unclassified non-coding RNA is filed under the name Pollicipes pollicipes. RNAcentral's name for it is "serine/arginine-rich splicing factor 4-like, transcript variant X1". The record is from RNAcentral. Lineage: Eukaryota; Metazoa; Arthropoda; Thecostraca; Pollicipedomorpha; Pollicipedidae.
CAUCCGCGUCGUGCGCGUUGCGUCCUGGCCCGUGGAGUGAUUACGGGUUCGGAUAAUAUAAAGACAACAUGAACCAGAGCGGCACCGGCAGCGGCAUCUUCAGCGUGACCGGCGCCGGGGAGAACUUCCGGCCGGCCUGCAAGAAGUGCGGCUACCCGGGCCACCUGACGUUCCAGUGCCGCAACUUCAUCCAGGUCACCUCCGCCCAGGACUGCGUGUUGGACGUCAGCUCUACCAGUUCGGAUGAGUCGGACGACGAGACGCCGCUGAAACUUCUAAACAAAGAGGAGCUGGAGAAGCUGAGGAAGCGGCACAAGAAGAAAAAGAAGAAGAAGGAAAAGAAAAAGAAAGAAAAAAAGAAGAAAAAGGAAGCGCAGUCAUCGGAUUCUGAUUCAGAUGAGGAUCGUAAGAAGCGGCAUAAAAAGAAACAAAGGUCUGGCUCGACAGAAUCUGACUCUGACGAGGCUUCCCGAAAGAAGCGGAGGGUAAAAGAUGGCUCGAAAGGUCGCCACGACGCGAGCCCCGCGCCGCGCUCUGCCGACAGCCACCAGCGACACAGAGGGCAUCACGAUCGCCGCUCCGCCUCGCCGACAGAUGGCAGGACCUCCGAGCGGGGGUCGCGGCUGGGCGCCCCCAGCCGGCGCUCGCCGGUGACGGAGCGGGUCGGUGGAGCGGCCGACCACCGGCCGCGGUCCGACCACAGGGGACGGCCCAGGUCUGGCAGCCGCGGGAGAGAGGCGAAGGGGAGACGCUCGAGGUCUGUGAGUGGUGGACGGCGAGGACAUCGGAGACCGUCGAGGUCAGGAAGCCGCGGCAAAGAUAUGAAGAAGAGGCGGUCUAGGUCUGCGAGUGGCGGGAAACCAGCGGACAGGAGACGACCGAGGUCUCGGAGUCGCGACAGAGACGCGAAGAGGGGGCGCUCAAGAUCGGGCAGUGGCGGAAGACAUCGGGCAGUGGCGAAGAGACGUUCGGGGUCGAGAAGUCGAGGUGGAGAUGUGAGAAAACGGCGUUCAAGAUCGGUAAGCAACAGGAGAGAGGACAUUAAGGGACGCUCACGAUCCAGGAGUCGUGAAAGAGAAGCUAGGAAAAUACCUUCAGGGGUCGCGAGCGGCGGGGACGCACGCAGGAGGCGGUCGAGAUCCAGGAGUGGCGGCGGUGACAUGCGAAAGAGACGCUCGAGAUCCAGGGGUCGUGGCGAAGACGUGCGAAAGAGACGCUCGAGAUCCAGGAGUCGUGGCGAAGACGUGCGAAAGAGACGCUCGAGAUCCAGGAGUCGUGACGGAAAUGUGCGAAGGAGACGCUCGAGAUCCGUCAGUGGUGCGAGACGAGACGACGCUGGACACGCUGGGUCAAGGUCGGGAGACCGCGGUCGAGGUGGGCACCAGGGUGACUCCGCUGCCAGAGGUGGCGGUCAUGGUGAUCGGAGGAGCCCCUCAACUGACAGCUCGAGCUCAAGUGCAAGUUCCAGCUCGUGAGCUAGCCAUCGUGAACACUAAAUGGUGGCUGGUGUCAUUUGUCUGUCACUUGAGGGCUGUUGAUGGAGAACAUUCUCGGUGUUGAGACUUCUCCGACUGAAUGUCGCCUAGUGGCUUCUCGACACUGCGGUGGAACACUCUGGAAUGCUGCAUGCGGCUGAUGGGUUGCCGCUGGGUGGCUAUGGACCAACGCGAAAGCUACGGGGUUGUCGUACCGCUGGGUGGCUAUGGACUAACGCGAAAGCUAAAAAGGUGGUUGUCAUUGCGGUUGUCGUGCCCCUGGGUGGAUAUGGACCAACGCGACAGCUACGGCGGUUGUGCCGCUGGGUGGCCAUGGACCAACGCGAAAGCUACGGUGGUUGUGGCGGUUGUCGUGGCCGCGGAGUGCUGGCAGGGCUCGAGUCACACGUCCCAGGGUGGAAUCCCGCGUAGGUGUACUGAUAUGUGAUGAUGCUUGGUGUAUUUUGAUACCAGUGCGAUGACUGAAUUCUGUCCCACUUUGUUUUCCUUGGAACUGCUGAGCAGAGUGCCGCCUCGCAACGCCGUUUGUUACCCCCUCCCCCCACUAUCUUGAGGGGCUGCUUCCCGCUGAGUUGUUUUCUCGAUUCCUCGAGUGUUGCGAGAUCUUGCGCGGUAGAGGGCUUUUAGCAGAGUUCUGCGGGCACAGAAAACGCGCCGAAACAAAGUCCUUUGCAUUAUCAGAUAGAGCAAGUACAACACAAUGCACAUACAAUACGAUUGGUCGCGAGCGCAAUCCUACACAUCCCUGUCAUGUGCUGGUGCGAAGCGAUUUGUACCCAUAUGAAACGUAAUACACCACUAUGUAAAUUGA